RNAcentral lists this long non-coding RNA (308 nucleotides) under Musa acuminata (dwarf banana). RNAcentral's name for it is "long non-coding RNA (MACU_LNC007439)". The record is from RNAcentral. Lineage: Eukaryota; Viridiplantae; Streptophyta; Magnoliopsida; Zingiberales; Musaceae.
UAUAGCGUGGAGUGGGCCUUACCAAAUACAGGAGACUAUACUAAUGAAUUAGCUGUGCGAGGAAAGGAGACCAGAUCAGAUGCAAGCUUAGAAGUAAUGAACCCUAUCUUUACUUACUAAAAGCCUACCGAUUGCCUGAAUUAGGAUAUGUCGGAUAAUUUGUGGAUUUACCUAUAGGAUAAUUUGUUGAUUUGUUCAUUUCAGUGUCUCUAACAAUAACUUUCACGGGCUAAGAAGUAACAACUAGAUCUAGCUGGUAUUACCAAUAUGUAGCAUUUAGUACAAAGAUAAGAAAUGCACUCAGUAGU